This 234-nucleotide ribosomal RNA is filed under the name uncultured bacterium. Its description in RNAcentral is "partial 16S ribosomal RNA". It matches the Rfam family "Bacterial small subunit ribosomal RNA", at positions 118 to 347 of the family's 1533-position model. The record is from RNAcentral.
UGAGUAACCUGCCCUUCACUCUGGGAUAACUCCGGGAAACCGGGGCUAAUACUGGAUAUGACUCGAACAGGCAUCUGUUUCGGGUGGAAAGAUUUUAUUGGUGGAGGAUGGACUCGCGGCCUAUCAGCUUGUUGGUGAGGUAAUGGCUCACCAAGGCGACGACGGGUAGCCGGCCUGAGAGGGCGAUCGGCCACACGUGGGACUGAGACACGGCCCAGACUCCGUACGGGAGCA